AAAUUGAAGAGUUUGAUCAUGGCUCAGAUUGAACGCUGGCGGCAGGCCUAACACAUGCAAGUCGAACGGUAACAGGAAGCAGCUUGCUGCUUCGCUGACGAGUGGCGGACGGGUGAGUAAUGUCUGGGAAACUGCCUGAUGGAGGGGGAUAACUACUGGAAACGGUAGCUAAUACCGCAUAACGUCGCAAGACCAAAGAGGGGGACCUUCGGGCCUCUUGCCAUCGGAUGUGCCCAGAUGGGAUUAGCUUGUUGGUGGGGUAACGGCUCACCAAGGCGACGAUCCCUAGCUGGUCUGAGAGGAUGACCAGCCACACUGGAACUGAGACACGGUCCAGACUCCUACGGGAGGCAGCAGUGGGGAAUAUUGCAC
RNAcentral lists this ribosomal RNA (372 nucleotides) under Escherichia coli. RNAcentral's name for it is "bacterial SSU rRNA". It matches the Rfam family "Bacterial small subunit ribosomal RNA", at positions 1 to 369 of the family's 1533-position model. The record is from RNAcentral. Lineage: Bacteria; Pseudomonadati; Pseudomonadota; Gammaproteobacteria; Enterobacterales; Enterobacteriaceae. RNAcentral also lists the same sequence under 1 other name.